UAGCUAGUUGGUGAGGUAAAGGCUUACCAAGGCGACGAUCUAUAGCGGGUCUGAGAGGAUGAUCCGCCACACUGGAACUGAGACACGGUCCAGACUCCUACGGGAGGCAGCAGUGGGGAAUUUUGGACAAUGGGGGCAACCCUGAUCCAGCCAUGCCGCGUGAGUGAAGAAGGCCUUCGGGUUGUAAAGCUCUUUCGGCCGGGAAGAAAUCGCAUGGGCCAAUACCCUGUGUGGAUGACGGUACCGGAAUAAGAAGCACCGGCUAACUACGUGCCAGCAGCCGCGGUAAUACGUAGGGUGCGAGCGUUAAUCGGAAUUACUGGGCGUAAAGCGUGCGCAGGCGGUUUUGUAAGACAGGCGUGAAAUCCCCGGGCUUAACCUGGGAACUGCGUUUGUGACUGCAAGGCUAGAGUACGGCAGAGGGGGGUGGAAUUCCACGUGUAGCAGUGAAAUGCGUAGAGAUGUGGAGGAACACCAAUGGCGAAGGCAGCCCCCUGGGUCGAUACUGACGCUCAUGCACGAAAGCGUGGGUAGCAAACAGGAUUAGAUACCCUGGUAGUCCACGCCCUAAACUAUGUCAACUAGGUGUUGGGUGGGUAAAACCAUUUAGUACCGUAGCUAACGCGUGAAGUUGACCGCCUGGGGAGUACGGCCGCAAGGUUAAAACUCAAAGGAAUUGACGGGGACCCGCACAAGCGGUGGAUGAUGUGGAUUAAUUCGAUGCAACGCGAAGAACCUUACCUACCCUUGACAUGCCAGGAACUUGCCAGAGAUGGCUUGGUGCCCGAAAGGGAGCCUGGACACAGGUGCUGCAUGGCUGUCGUCAGCUCGUGUCGUGAGAUGUUGGGUUAAGUCCCGCAACGAGCGCAACCCUUGUCGUUAAUUGCCAUCAUUUAGUUGGGCACUUUAACGAGACUGCCGGUGACAAACCGGAGGAAGGUGGGGAUGACGUCAAGUCCUCAUGGCCCUUAUGGGUAGGGCUUCACACGUCAUACAAUGGUCGGUACAAAGGGUUGCCAAGCCGCGAGGCGGAGCCAAUCCCAGAAAGCCGAUCGUAGUCCGGAUUGCAGGCUGCAACUCGCCUGCAUGAAGUCGGAAUCGCUAGUAAUCGUGGAUCAGCAUGUCACGGUGAAUACGUUCCCGGGUCUUGUACACACCGCCCGUCACACCAUGGGAGCGGGUUCCGCCAGAAGUAGGUAGCCUAACCGCAAGGGGGGCGCUUACCACGGCGGGGUUCGUGACUGGGGUGAAGUCGUAACAAGGUAGCCGUAGGGGAACCUGCGGCUG
This 1287-nucleotide ribosomal RNA is filed under the name metagenome. Its description in RNAcentral is "bacterial SSU rRNA". It matches the Rfam family "Bacterial small subunit ribosomal RNA", at positions 242 to 1520 of the family's 1533-position model. The record is from RNAcentral.